This 468-nucleotide ribosomal RNA is filed under the name uncultured bacterium. Its description in RNAcentral is "partial 16S ribosomal RNA". It matches the Rfam family "Bacterial small subunit ribosomal RNA", at positions 28 to 507 of the family's 1533-position model. The record is from RNAcentral.
GACGAACGCUGGCGGCGUGCUUAACACAUGCAAGUCGAACGGAAAGGCCCUGCUUUUGUGGGGUGCUCGAGUGGCGAACGGGUGAGUAACACGUGAGUAACCUGCCCUUGACUUUCGGAUAACUUCAGGAAACUGGGGCUAAUACCGGAUAGGAGCUCCUGCUGCAUGGUGGGGGUUGGAAAGUUUCGGCGGUUGGGGAUGGACUCGCGGCUUAUCAGCUUGUUGGUGGGGUAGUGGCUUACCAAGGCUUUGACGGGUAGCCGGCCUGAGAAGGUGACCGGCCACAUUAGGACUGAGAUACGGCCCAGACUCCUACGGGAGGCAGCAGUGGGGAAUAUUGCACAAUGGGCGGAAGCCUGAUGCAGCAACGCCGCGUGCGGGAUGACGGCCUUCGGGUUGUAAACCGCUUUCGCCUGUGACGAAGAGUGAGUGACGGUAAUGGAUAAAGAAGCACCGGCUAACUACGUG